GGCAGGCGGCUCCUCUCCUUCUGCGGCCCCACGCGCCGCCCCAAGCAGGACGCGCGGCGCGGAAUGAGUGUAAAUGAGAAAACACUAACUUCGCUCCUGACGGCGCCGAUGCAGGAUGUAUCCGUUUACCCUAUAAAUAAGCACUGAUCACCUCCAUUUUAUUGAACUCAUUUUCCAGGCAAGCAGAGACCACAAGAUUCUUCAGCACAUUUUCUCUUUACACCCUCUAGGACGGCUGCUAGUGUCAACUCCGACAGAUUUAUAGCCCAUUCAUUCAUGGGAACAAAAACCCUGCCACGGCUGGUCAUGGGACACGCAAUAGCAGUUAGUUCAGAAGAUAACAGCGGCAAUACCUCACCUCUCCAUUCAGGACUACAGAGCCGGCACCACUUUGGAGACCCAACAGCAGCCAAAGGUGCUCCCAGGUGGAGCCCAUGAACCCAAUGAAGAAUCAAAGGCAGGCUGGGUCUGACCUUGGAAAUGGGUCAGAAACAUCAGAGCUGGGGCGCAAGCCUGGUCCCCACAACAGGACGAAGCUGGUCUGACUAGUUCAUGUCUGUCCCCAGAGCCUGAAACAAGCCAGGUACAAAGCAAACACAAAACAAGCAUGUGUUGAAUAAACCUUUUUUUUUUUUUUUUUUUAAG
Long non-coding RNA from Bos taurus (domestic cattle), 645 nucleotides. Lineage: Eukaryota; Metazoa; Chordata; Mammalia; Artiodactyla; Bovidae. The record is from Ensembl.